Molecule: ribosomal RNA, 252 nt
Filed under: uncultured bacterium
Lineage: Bacteria
Description: partial 16S ribosomal RNA
Rfam family: Bacterial small subunit ribosomal RNA
Source: RNAcentral
UACGUAGGUCCCAAGCGUUGUCCGGAUUUAUUGGGCGUAAAGCGAGCGCAGGUGGUUUAUUAAGUCUGGUGUAAAAGGCAGUGGCUCAACCAUUGUAUGCAUUGAAAACUGGUAGACUUGAGUGCAGGAGAGGAGAGUGGAAUUCCAUGUGUAGCGGUGAAAUGCGUAGAUAUAUGGAGGAACACCGGUGGCGAAAGCGGCUCUCUGGCCUGUAACUGACACUGAGGCUCGAAAGCGUGGGGAGCAAACAGG